AGAUUAUGGAGGCUGAAAUUCCCAAGA
This 27-nucleotide non-coding RNA is filed under the name Homo sapiens (human). Lineage: Eukaryota; Metazoa; Chordata; Mammalia; Primates; Hominidae. The record is from RNAcentral.